This 356-nucleotide unclassified non-coding RNA is filed under the name soil metagenome. RNAcentral's name for it is "partial contains 5.8S ribosomal RNA, internal transcribed spacer 2, and large subunit ribosomal RNA". The stretch from base 1 to 120 matches the Rfam family "5.8S ribosomal RNA", at positions 35 to 154 of the family's 154-position model. The record is from RNAcentral.
GAUGAAGAACGCAGCGAAAUGCGAUAAGUAAUGUGAAUUGCAGAAUUCAGUGAAUCAUCGAAUCUUUGAACGCACAUUGCGCCCGCUGGUAUUCCGGCGGGCAUGCCUGUUCGAGCGUCAUUUCAACCCUCAAGCUCUCCGGAGUUUGGUGUUGGGGCGCCUGGGGCUUUUCGACCUCAGGGCCCUCAAGUCCAUCGGCGGGACCGCCAGGACACUGAGCGCAGUAGUAUUAUUUCGCUCGGUAGGAUCUUCCACGGCGGGUCGAUCUGGCCGCUAAACCCCCCAAUUCUCACCAAAGGUUGACCUCGGAUCAGGUAGGAAUACCCGCUGAACUUAAGCAUAUCAAUAAGCGGGGA